UGCUCAAUCACAGAUGGAACAAUGGUGAGA
This 30-nucleotide non-coding RNA is filed under the name Homo sapiens (human). Lineage: Eukaryota; Metazoa; Chordata; Mammalia; Primates; Hominidae. The record is from RNAcentral.